GACGAACCGUGCAAACGUUGUUCGGAAUCACUGGGCUUAAAGGGCGCGUAGGCGGCCUUCUAAGUCGAACGUGAAAUCCCCGGGCUCAACCCGGGAGCUGCGUCCGAUACUGGAAGGCUUGAAUCCGGGAGAGGGAUGCGGAAUUCCAGGUGUAGCGGUGAAAUGCGUAGAUAUCAGGAGGAACACCUGCGGUGUAGACGGCUUUCUGGACCAUUGCUGACGCUGAGACACGAAAGCGUGGGUAGCAAACAGG
Molecule: ribosomal RNA, 253 nt
Filed under: uncultured bacterium
Lineage: Bacteria
Description: partial 16S ribosomal RNA
Rfam family: Bacterial small subunit ribosomal RNA
Source: RNAcentral